RNAcentral lists this ribosomal RNA (465 nucleotides) under uncultured bacterium. RNAcentral's name for it is "partial 16S ribosomal RNA". It matches the Rfam family "Bacterial small subunit ribosomal RNA", at positions 28 to 507 of the family's 1533-position model. The record is from RNAcentral.
GACGAACGCUGGCGGCGUGCUUAACACAUGCAAGUCGUACGGUAAGGCCCUUUCGGGGGUACACGAGUGGCGAACGGGUGCGUAACACGUGAGUAACCUGCCCACAACUUUGGGAUAACGCUAGGAAACUGGUGCUAAUACUGGAUAUGUGCUCCUGCUGCAUGGUGGGGGUUGGAAAGCUCCGGCGGUUGUGGAUGGACUGGCUGCCUAUCAGCUUGCUGGUGGGGUAGUGGCCUACCAAGGCGGCGACGGGUAGCCGGCCUGAGAGGGUGACCGGCCACAUUGGGACUGAGAGACGGCACAGGCACCUACGGGAGGCAGCAGGGGGGAAGAUUGCACAAUGAGCGCAAGCCUGAUGCAGCAGCGCCGCGUGCGGGAGGACGGCCUUAGGGUUGUAAACCGCAUUCAGCAGGGACGAAGCUUUUUGUGACGGUACCUGCAGAAGAAGCACCGGCUAACUACGUG